AAAAUUGCUCUAAAAUACUUUAUUGUGAUUGUCGUAACUUUCUGGCACUUUGUGUUUCUCUGUGGGAAAACUCCAGUCGGCCAGAAUAAAAUACAUCAAAGAAUUUUCAGGCCUGGGUCUGCUGAACAGUUUUCUGUGCCCUGAUGGUUGUUUGGUGAGUAACAAAAAAAAAAAAAGAAAAAAAGAAAAAAAGAUAAGGACUGUGAGAAGAGGAAGACGAAAAACAAAAACAAAACCCAACUGGCUCAAAGUUCAGCUGUAGAAUGUUUUCUUUUUUUUCUAUAAGGCUGUAGUGUUCUUUCUGCCAAGUAUGUACGGUUUCCUUUUCCUUUUCUUUCCUCUGGUUUUACAGUAUAUUAAUAUAUUCACCUCCCUCACUUUCCUUUCUUUUGAAAUAACAGCUAUAUUUUUCAAUAAAAGACAAAGCUGGUAAUCUUUAA
This is a long non-coding RNA of Sphaeramia orbicularis (orbiculate cardinalfish), 440 nucleotides long. RefSeq lists it as uncharacterized. The record is from RefSeq and is a predicted model, not a curated record. The transcript is spliced from 3 exons. Lineage: Eukaryota; Metazoa; Chordata; Actinopteri; Kurtiformes; Apogonidae.